This 305-nucleotide ribosomal RNA is filed under the name uncultured bacterium. RNAcentral's name for it is "bacterial SSU rRNA". It matches the Rfam family "Bacterial small subunit ribosomal RNA", at positions 338 to 635 of the family's 1533-position model. The record is from RNAcentral.
CCUACGGGGGGCAGCAGUAGGGAAUCUUCCACAAUGGACGAAAGUCUGAUGGAGCAACGCCGCGUGAGUGAAGAAGGGUUUCGGCUCGUAAAGCUCUGUUGGGAGUGAAGAAAGAUAGAGGUAGUAACUGGCCUUUAUUUGACGGUAAUUACUUAGAAAGUCACGGCUAACUACGUGCCAGCAGCCGCGGUAAUACGUAUGGGGCAAGCGUUAUCCGGAUUUACUGGGUGUAAAGGGAGUGCAGGCGGCUUGGCAAGUCUGAUGUGAAAGGCUGGGGCUCAAACCCAGGACUGCAUUGGAAACUG